UUGCAUUUCCUUCGAAGGUCACGGAGAUCAUUACGAAAAACGUGUCAUGCGACGGCGAAGAGGUUGGGUGAGGACGACACGUGUAACAUCAUUAUCAAGUAGGUAAAAUAGCCGGAAGGUAUAAGAUGUGGGUCAGGGUGAGAAAAAGUCGUAUAAAAGGAGAGAGAAAAAUUGACAUGGAUCAGUCGAGUGAGUAUCUCCGACACGGUAACAACUUCAGCGCACUAUUGGUCACCUGCUGCAUUCUUCAUCGUAUCAUCAGUUCGCAAUCAUGGUAAACUAUGGCGUUGUUCUGCUGUUGGGUGUUGAAUCGCUGACGGUUGGGUCGACCACUGGUGUACCGAUGUCUCCUGGUCCUGUGUAUGGUGGAUAUCAAAGCACAACAUUGCUGUCUUAAUACUCAUCAUCAACCAAUGCUGCUCCAGCUUACACCACCAAGGCUUCAGACAAGUUGCAUUAAAGGAGAGAAAAGGCUUUUCCGACACGACAACAACUUCCGCGCACAAUUUGUCACCAACUGCCUUCUUCAUCGUAUAAAGCGUAAACUGUGGCGUCGUGCUGCUGUUGGUUGUUGUCCUGAAAUACUACACCACCGAGGCUUCAAAGUAUUACACUACAAUUUAUGCUGCUGCGAGAUGCAUCACUAAAGAGCCCGAUUCACUCUGGCGCCGUGCUGCUGUUUGGUGUCUUAUCGUUGAAGGUUGGGUCGACCACGGGUUUACUGAUGUCUUCUGGUCAUGGUGGAGACCAAGCAACAGCAGCGAAAGAAUACUACACCACGCCGCCGCCUUCGCAACAUCUACUUACAACACCGAGGCCCCCAAGUGGUACACCACCAAGGCUCAAGAGUUACGCUACAAAUUACGCUGCCCCGAGUUACAUCACCAAAGCGCCUGAGUACUACAUCCCCGAGGCACUACAACUGAGGCGGCGAAGUACUACGUAGCCUAGGCUUACAACACAGCAGCUGCUCCUUCAUACUACGUUGAACUGAAAUACUACACCAAGGCUGCAGUUGACUACACCACAACCUACGCUUCACUUAGCUACUAUGACGAAGCCCCCAACUACUACACCGAAGAGGCCACAUGUUACACACCAACGUACAGUGCCCCAGUUUACUACACCGAGGAACCCAAGUAUUACUCUGCUCCAAGCUACUACCAAACUGAGGCUCCUGUUAACCAAGGCCACCGAGUAUUAUACUACAACCAAACGUUAACUAUGGCGUCGUGCUGCUGUUGGUUGUAUGAUCCUUGAUGGCUGGGUUGACCACUGGUGUACCGAUGUCUCCUGGGUAUGGCGGAUACCAAACCGCAACGCCGGCGUCUUACUAUACAACAACAUACGCAGCAACCGGAUACUACACCCCCAAGGCCCUAGAGUAUUACACCAUAACUUAUGAUGUCCCGAACUUCUACACCGAAGCUUCGAAGUUUAACUCAGCCCCGUGUUAAACCACCAAGGCAGCGGAGUACUACACCACCAAGGCAGCGGAGUACUACACCACCAAGGCAGCGGAGUACUACACCACCAAGGCAGCGGAGUACUACACCACCAAGGCAGCGGAGUACUACACCACCAAGGCAGCGGAGUACUACACCACCAAGGCAGUGGAGUACUACACCACCAAGGCAGUGGAGUACUACACCACCAAGGCAGCGGAGUACUACACCACCAAGGCAGCGGAGUACUACACCACCAAGGCAGCGGAGUACUACACCACCAAGGCAGCGGAGUACUACACCACCAAGGCAGCGGAGUACUACACCACCAAGGCAGCGGAGUACUACACCACCAAGGCAGCGGAGUACUACACCACCAAGGCAGCGGAGUACUACACCACCAAGGCAGCUGCAUAUUCGUACUACGUUGAACCGGAAUGCUAAACCGAGGCCUCAGUUUUCUAUACUACAGCCUGCGCUUCUCCCAGGUACUAUACCACCAAGGCUACUGAGUAUUACACCACUUCUUACGCUGCUACCACCUACUUCACCGAAGCUCCGAAGUUUUACUCUGUGCUGAGUUACCACACCAUUAAGGAAGCCGAACAUUUCAUCACAAACGCUUCCGCAACUUACUACAUGAAAAUUCCUAAAUGCUAGACCCGAAAUUUCUAAUUGGUUUUAUUAAGAUAUGUCGGUUGUCUUCAUGGUCAUUGGGAAUUAAUCGUUGAUGUUGAUUGAGAAAAUAAAAUUUCUAAUGCCGGUAAUUCUUUUUUAAGACUUGGUAGUAACUUCAAGCCUGUCAACGUUGCGGCAGGUGUCUAUUGGUGUUGGACUUCUUCAAGGCCAGUAUCCUACGUUGUGAUUUGUCUGUUAAUCGAUCUGCAUACGGAUUUGUUUUAGUGGUUCGACGUGAAGUUUCAAGGGAAAGUUACGAAAGAAACUUGUAACUGUUGAUUUUUGCAAAUCUUAUAUGCAAGUAAAAGGCAAUUGGCUGAUCUUUGUAUAAU
This 2455-nucleotide unclassified non-coding RNA is filed under the name Daphnia pulex (common water flea). Its description in RNAcentral is "uncharacterized LOC124198574, transcript variant X5". Lineage: Eukaryota; Metazoa; Arthropoda; Branchiopoda; Diplostraca; Daphniidae. The record is from RNAcentral.